Molecule: long non-coding RNA, 11563 nt
Organism: Callithrix jacchus (white-tufted-ear marmoset)
Lineage: Eukaryota; Metazoa; Chordata; Mammalia; Primates; Cebidae
Source: RefSeq, a predicted model, not a curated record
AAGUUUUUUCCUUUUAUUGGUAGUUUUUCCUUGAGGUCUGUUAUGUUGUUUCUGAGUUCUAAUUCUGAUUUGUUUUUUUUUUUUUUUUUCAGCUCAUUUUCUUUUUGAGACAGAGUCUCGCUCUGUCACCAAGGCUGGAGUGCAGUGGCAUGAUCUUGGCUCACUGCAACCUCUGCGUCCUGGGUUCAAGCAAUUCUCCUGCCUCAGCCUCCUGAGUUGAUCUGUUUUUGAGCAUGUGCUCUCAUUGUCUAUAGGGAUAUUAUUCUCUUGCUUCUUUUCCUCUCCUUCUCCUUCUUUUCUUAGUUUUCUUCACCUUUUAAUUGAAACUUUGUAUAAUAUUUGAUCUUGAUACUUUUUUUGUUUGUUAACCAUUUUAAUGUAAAUUUGGUUUUGGUUUUAUUGAACUUUUAAAAGGAGGCUUGCUUGAGAUCAGAUUUUGUUCACUUUGCAGAGCUCUCUCUCUCUUUUUUUUCUUUUUUCAUUUGUUUCCUGAGAUUUCCUGGCUCUUUUCCCCUCCUGUCCUUCAAUCUGGACCUUCUUUUUCAUUUAACUCUGUUGCUCCUACCCUGCCUUUGUCCUAUUCCACUCCCAGAAGUUUAUCCUGCGUGGUUCUGUUCUGAAAGGAAGCCCUGUUGGGUCUGUUUGAAGAGUUCAGAGGGAUUUGACUGCUCCAGUGCCUUGAAGGCCUUACUCCUGGCCCCUUACAUUCACCCACUAUUGAAAUGUAUACCGCUCUUCCUAAACUGGCCCGCUGCACUUGGAGUCAGUAUCUGUUGCCUUAUUGGGGAAUUCUCAGUUCAUCAGUUGCAUCGUUGUAGCUUUCCUCUGAUUUCUCCAACACAGGCGCUGAUAACAUGUAAAUCUUGUUGUUACUAUUGGCGUUUUUUUCCCCCACUCAUUUGUGUUUUGGGGUUUAUGGGGAUACCUCAUCACUUAGCUUUGCUGUAAAUAUUGGUUGUGUCUGGUUUGACAUCAAUUUUUCUGUAUGUUUUUAUGGAAGAAUUCAGUGAGAUCUAAAACUAUGCUGUCACUGCUGCCCCUAUCUUCAUUUUUCAAGUUUUUGACAGUGGUAUUCACACAUAAUCCGUCAGGGAUGUGAUAUCGUUUUUGAUUCCCUGUUUGGUUCACUUCACUUGUCUCUUCCUUCCAUGAUAAGGAACACAACGUGGAGAUUCUGCCACUUGCCAAAAUGGUAUUCCAACUCUGUGUUCUGGAAUCGGAAAAUAACCACAGAAUGGGUUCAUGAACUCCCUUGGCCAAGAUGGAGUCUGGCCAAAACUGCAUGUAUCGCUUGACUCUCCUAAGUUCUUUCUCUUACUAAUGGAUCACAGUUGCCUUUGGUGUCCCUAAGGGUAACACUAAGAAACAGUGUUCAGUAACGCCUCCCAAGUCUAGAUAUUUCCCUUUCCCCAGUGCACAAUUACCCUGACAAAUGUCUUUAGUUUUCUUAAGGAGACAAGAAGUUUACAAUUCAUACUUGGGACAGUGCCAUAGGAUCCUUCCUCAUGGGUAUCUGGCUUCUUCAUUCAAUGGAAUCAAACAGUAAAUUGGAUCAGUUUCUGGAAACUGGGUAAGGAAAUCUGAAUUUCCAUUGAGAGAACUCAAAUCAUUCCACCACGUUUAGGACUUUUUUUUUUCCUUGACUUUGUGUCUGUCUAUCUCUUUCAAUCCUAGGAAGACCGUAAUACAUAGCCUCGUUCUUGAGGGUCAAAACAUUCUGAUGACCACUGUAUUCCUGCCACUUACAUGGGAGGCAGUUACCACUUCCAUUUGUCCUCUGCCACUCCAGAAUCCUAUCAUCACAACUGCACUCAGAGAGCCUGUUUCUAUAGCAGUAUCUCCUACAUAAGACAGCUUUACCGGCAGGUGCGGUGACUCACACUGGUAAUCCCAACACUUUGGGAAGCCAAAGUGGGAGGAUUGCUUGAGCCCAGCAGUUUAAGACCAGCCUGGGCAACAUGGUGAGACCCCAUCUCUACAAAGAUAAAAAAAAUUAGUUGGGCGUGGUGGAGCCUAUAUUCCCAGCUACUUGUGAGGCUGAGGUGGAAGGAUUACUUGAGCCUGGGAGAUUGAGGCUGCAAUGAAACAUGAUCACCCCACUGCACCCCAGCCUGGAUGACACAACAAGACCCCAUCUCAAAAAAAAAAAGACAAUCACUGUAAUGUUUUAAAGGAUAUUGGUGCUUGAACCACAGAUGUACUUCUCUGUGUCUUAGUGAAGGGAAUGUUCUUUGGUCUCUUUUGGUCAACACAGAUGGUGACUGAACAGGUCAUGCAUAGUAUUUCCAUUUUAACAUUACUAACUCCCCAAGUCUUUGAAUUUUUUUGCCUCUACAUUAUAUCAUGGAUUUUUUUUUUCUUUUUCAAAUGGAGUCUUACUCUGUCAUGCAUGCUGGAGUACAGUGGCAUGAUCUUGGUUCACUGCAACCUCUGCCUCCUGGGUUCAAGUGAUUCUUGUGCCUCAGCUUCCUGAGUAGCUUGGGACUACAGGCAUGCACCACCACACCUGGCUAAUUUUUGUAUUUUUAGUAGAGAUGAGGUUUCACCAUAUUGGUCAGCCUGGUCUCGAACUCCUGACCUCAUGAUUCUCCUGACUUGGCCUCCCAAAGUGCUGGGAUUACAGGUGUGAUCCACUGUGCCUGGCCCUAUAUCAAGGAAUUUUUGAUAGCACUUAGGGUAGGCCUCUUUUGAAACUAGAUUUCAGUCGAUCAACUGAACAGAUUCAUCCUCUUGAAUUAGUUCACUCGAUUCAAAAUCUAGCAAAUGCAGCCAUCAUGAUAAUAAUCCCUUCUGUUUGAUGUAGCCUUUUCCCUAUGUGGCUCCAUUAUGACACAUAUUCCCUAGUCUUCUAGAGAUAUGAAUAAGCAGAAAAUUGCAAAUAUUUAAAUAGGUAAACAUUUUGUCUCUCUUAGGCAUGAUGGAAUUUGGCUUUCUUUAAUAGGUCAAAAGACCAUGAAAAUUAUUGUGGUGGAACAUGAGGAUAUUUGGCAUCCUUUUGAAGAAGUCACUGCAGGGUCUCCACACAAAGCAGAGCAGGCAUGAUUGGGUGGAGAAGAAGGGUUGCUUCUGCUGGUGAGCAAGCCACAGUGCCUACUGGGGGCUCCAAGAACUCAUAUUCAUCUGAAAUCACAAACAUUCUGAUUUCAAUUUUCAAAGUUCCACUCUUUCUUAACCAAAGUCUAAUUUGCACAUAGAGGACCCGGUGAGGCUGUGAAUUCAAUUUAAUUUGUGAUUUAAAACUUGCACGAUCAGCCUUGGCAUCUCAUUUUUGGACAUCAUCCCAUUCGCUUUAAGAGAUUAGAGAUUGUUUGAUGGCAGUUACAGAAACUCUCCAAUCUUCUAAUUUUGCCUUGAGCUUAGAAUUUAAAGAAAUUUAAAGGCCUGAGCCUUUCUUUAAGCUCUUUGGGGCUCGCUCAGAAGAAUCCAGCCUGUCCCAUCAUCCUUGGUUGCCCCAUUCUUACCAUACUGAUCCAGCAAAAGGCAUGCUUCAAUAGGCACUUAAUGUAAGCCCACCAGCCGUGUGAUAGUUUAAGGAACUCUUUGCAACUGUACCUUGGGCUGCCAGUUUCCCAUUUUUCAGUGGGAAUUGAAUCAGCCCUGUCUUCAAACCCAACCAAAUCAGAUAACCAUUCCCAAAUCCUUGUUGGUGAGUCUGCUGUCUAUAACUACUUCCAGUCUCAAGAACUGUUAUUAGUCAGGGCUCAAUAUAGGAGAUGGAAAACAAGGCAGGCGUUAGAAGCAUUAGAGGAUUUUACAUAAUUAGAGAAUUUUAUAUAAGAAAUGAGGGCCAGGCACGCUGGCUCAUGCCUAUAAUCCCAGCACUUUGGGAGGCCGAGGCAGGCAGAUCAUGAGGUCAGGAGUUUAAGACCAGCCUGGCCAACCCCAUCUUUACUGAAAAUACAAACAUUGUCUAGGCAUGGUAGCACAUACCGAUAAUACCAGCUACUCGGGACGGUGAGGCAGGAGGAUUGCUUGAACCCAGGAGGUGGAGGUUGCAGUGAGCUGAAAUCGUGUCACGGCUCUCCAGCCUGGGUAACAGACCAAGACUCUGUCUUGGAAAAAAACAUAAGGUGACUUAAAAAUGGUUGGAAAUGCUAGAGUAGCAUGAAUCAGGAGACCACCACUGGAACUAUUCAGCUCAGUGCUCAUCAUCAUAGAUUCUAUUCAGAGAUCAGGUAUUUGGGGCUUAGGAAGCCACUUCCUUUGUCACAUUGAAAUGUUUUUGACAUCCAUAAACGUGUUAACCAGGUUCUGAGUCUGGUCAUCACCGCCCCAUAGCUGCUCUUGAUGCUCAUGUAUUCAUGAGCCUGCUUGUUAGCAGAAAUAGCAAUAGGAUAAUAGCCUGUGAAAGAUUAAUGAAAAUGUGGCUAUAAAAACAGUAAAAGAAAACAAAGAGGCCGGGCGCGGUGGCUCAAGCCUGUAAUCUCAGCACUUUGGGAGGCCGAGGCGGGUGGGUCACGAGGUGAAGAGAUCGAGACCAUCCUGGUCAAAAUGAUGAAACCCUGUCUCUACUAAAAAUACAAAAAAUUAGCUGGGCAUGGUGGCGCGUGCCUGUAAUGCCAGCAACUUGGGAGGCUGAGGCAGGAGAAUUGCCUGAACCCAGGAGGCGGAGGUUGCGGUGAGCCGAGAUCGCGCCAUUGCACUCCAGCCUGGGUAACAAGAGCGAAACUCCAUCUCAAAAAAAAAAAAAAAAAAGAAAAGAAAACAAAGAAAGAAGUUUAUACACGAAGAAGAGAGAUGAGAUGGUAACUAGUGGGAGAAUACAGAAGAAAGGGACAGUUUUUAUUUGGAUGUAAGAGACUUAAGCAUUGUUACGGGCUGAGGGGAAGAUAAAGGAGAGGGUGGUUGAGGAUAUAGGAUAGUAGAGUAGGGGCGUUUGAUGAAACAAGCUCUGGAGAAAGAAGGGAGGCAGGAAUCAGGGUUAUAGGAAUCACGGUUGACCCCAAACAGGAAAGCAAACGGAGCAGCCUUAUUCUGAGGAAAGCCAGGCAUCUUCCGGGACCUUGAACAUGCAAAGAUUUGACCCAUGCAAUGACCCUACUGGAUGUGAGAAAUAAAGGUACAUAAUCAUAGGUGAACACAUGUGUGCUUCAGUCAUACCAGAGCGGUUUGUGUAAAAGAGACAACUGGAUGUGGAUAUAGUUUUUAUUUUUUUUCAAAUGAAGAACUUAUUUGGGGGCAUCUCAUCUUUCAAAUUACUUUAAACAGGUUGCUGUCAGAUGUUUACUUAGGACAAAUAUAAUCUAACAUGUAGUGUGUGAAAUAUGAACGCUAUUCCACAACUACUUGGAAUCAGAGUUGUGCACUCUUGUAGAUAUGUGAAACUGACCAACAAUGGAUCAGUGGGUUAUCAGGACUCAACAUGGCUCUGCUCAAACCUCGUUUGUACACAGGAUCCUCCAUUUCCACUAGCCAUCAGAUCUCCUUUACUUAACUCUAGCCAUCAUUGACAUGGCUCUUUGUAUGACCCUGAGAAGUCAGUUAUCUUUGGUUGGGGAAAAUAAUACACUAAGGUAAAACAUUGUAAAAAUGUCUAUUCUUAGAAGUGAAUAUGAUAAGAACAAAACUUUUGGGCUAAGCUAUGCAAAAAGACCAAAAGCAGGUAACUAGGUCAGAAUGCAACCUGCCUUUAUCGCCCAGGCUGGAGUGCAGUGGUGUCCCAAUUCACUGCAACCUCUGCCUUCCAGGUUCAAGUGAUUCUUGCGCCUCAGCCACCCAAGUAGCUGGGAUUAUAGGUAUGCACCACCACAUCUGGCUAAUUCUUUGUAUUAUUAGUAGAGAUGAGGUUUCACCAUGUUGGCCAGGUUGGUCUUGAACUCCUGGCCUCAAGUUAUCCACCCAGCUUAGCCUCCCAAAGUGCUGAGUUUAUAGGCAUGAGCCACCACACCUGGCUUCAACCUGUCUUUCCUUUCCUUUUUUUUUUUUAACCUGCCUUUCCUUAGCAGUCCUUUGCCAGGACUGCUAAGCUCAUAGCACAUAAGCAGGGGCUUUUGUGUGUCAGGGAACCUGGAAAGCACAGAUCAGUUCUCUUACUCAUAUUGAUGUGGUCAGUGUGGGAAGGUAUGUGGUGAGCAGAGGGGUGAAGUCUCAGCUAACUGCUUGAGCUGAGUAGAAAUGUGGAAGGUGCUUUCUAAGGAAAAGGAAGAUAAUUUUCAAUUCCUUUCUUUUUCUUUGGUCAGUCUCAGUAUCAAGGGAGUCACUUGGCUGGGCCCUAAACUGUCCCAUAUAAUCUCAUCCUCACUCCCCUACAUAUCCACCAUCCUAGAUAAACUUACAGUUCAAGUAAAAGUGGGUUGUGCAGAUGUGAUGCAAACAUACCCUCAAGAACGUUCCCUGAGUGCUCUUUUCAACCAGACAGCUGGCCCAAGCCCUUACUAUAUAGAUAGUUUGAAGCUGUUGCAGCUUUUGAUCAUAUUAUAUGUUCUAAUGCUUUAUUUUGAAGGCAAGGUUGAAAACGCUUUCCUAUAAUGUGUUAAAAAUUUGUCUGUGGGUCUCCUUCCUCCCUGUUACAUCCUCCAGGGGCUCAAUGCCUUUCACUGCCUCUAUUUGCCAAGACCUCCAAUUCUCUUACCCACUCCACAUCUAGAGCUCUUCCCCCAUCUUUUGAGAUCAAUCUUACCUGUGUCCCUUUUUCUCAGGGCUCUGCGAGGUGACUGGUUAUCUAAUUUAAUUAACUAAUGCACAAUAAAGUCCCACUGGCUUCAUGCAUCACCCUUUGAGGAUAACAUUUACAUUUUAAAUGAAGCUUCUUAGACCGUCAAGCUGGACAAGUAGCUUAUAGAUCAUCAGGACAAAUGCACUGAUUUUGUAGAAAAGGCUAUUAAGGCUCUGAGGCCUCACAGGACUUGCUGGGGGUUUUGGGGCUGGUAAGGGGCAGAGUCAGAACUGGAAUUGGUUUGGAGUUUAGUGUACCUUGCCCCAUUAUACAUAAGCUCUCAUAACAGGAUUAGUUAAUAGAAGAAUCUGCAAAUGUUAAAGAGAAAAAAGUGUUUUGAAUUGUGUAUUUGAUAUUUAACAUACGUUUACAUACAAAGUUGUCAUCACUCCUAACCUACAAUUCCAUUUUUUUUUUUUUUUUUUUUUUGAGACAGAGUCUCACUCUGUUGCCCAGGCUGGAGUUCAGUGGUGCGAUCUUGGCUCACUACAACCUCUGCCUCCCAGAUUCCAAGUGAUUCUCCAGCCUCAGCCUCCUGAGUAGCUGGGAUUACAGGCAUGUGCCACCAUGCCUGGCUAAUUUUUGUAUUUUUAAUACAGUCAGGGUUUCACCAUAUUGGCCAGGCUGGUCUCAAACCCCUGACCUCAAGUGAUCCACCCCCUUCGGCCUCCCAAAGUGCUGGAAUUACAGGCAUGAGACACUGUGCCUCGCUAAAAUUCCCGUUCUCACCAGUAUCUCUGUGAUAUGUUUAGCACAGUGUACUGCAACUGUUUUUACUUGUGUGCCUCCCCACCUGGACAAUGAGCUCCCAAGGACAGGGACUGGACUCUGUUUGUCAUUGCACCCAGCUCCCAGGUCAAGAUAGGGCAGAGUGGGCAUUCAAUAUACAUCACUGAAAGAAUGGGUGAAUGCAUACAUGAUCAGUAGGCACCGCUGUGUUGUGCUUCUGAGCAAAGUUGUUCUAGUGGCGAGGCAUCUUUCCCAACAUUCUCCAAACCACACCAGAUACUCACUGUCUUUCUCUACUUCCUCCGAAGGCUGGUUUCUAAUUUUAUAUUUUUGUGUCAUUGACAGCAUACAUUGGUGUUACCUCUCUAGUUUCUUUUACUUCGUAAGACUUCUUUUUCUCAUAUGGUUAGCAUUUCCCUUUUGCAAGAUUAGGAAGUGACAUACUUUAAGAAUACGAGAUUAAUCUGUUCUGAUUUUUUUUUUUUUUAUUCUCAGCUGGGAUAAAAAAAGAGCCUUUUGAAGAGCCUUCAAAUCAACAGUAAUUUCAAAUUUUCACAACAUAAAGAGGCAGAGCGCAAAGUGAAUUUGACACUUUGAAAAAUGCUGCAAGCCUCCCAGUAGACGGAUGAACGUGUUUCCACUUCAUGAAAGCUUGUUUCAUAAGUAUUCCAUAAAUAUCGAUGUCAGGGUUGUUAAGUAAUUAAUAUUAACCUAUUGAGAAAGCGUUUCUUUUCUACGUGGUUGAUUUCCAGUGGGGAGACUAAUUAAAUAUUAAAGACCAUGUGAAAUGAUUUCUAUAAUUACAGUUUCUAGCUGUAUUUACAAAUGAUGUGCAUACUGAAAUAAUCGUAUGAUUCUAAUACAUUUUUAUUCCUAUAUAGCAUAUAUAGAUUUUUUCAGUCUAGAUUUCCUCUGCUCAAGCCUGACUAUAGUUAUUUAUUACCCUUCACAAUUGCGCUUAUAAACUUUUCCCUCUUUCCACUAUGUUUUGAAAGGUUACCAUUCCACAUUCCACACCAGCCUCUCUGGUGGUUAUUUCUUUUCUUUUCUUUUUUUAAUGUUUUGUUUGUUUUAAUCACAAAAGACCUCCAUAUGUAUGGUAAAUUAAAGUCCUUAAGACAAUGGGAGAUGGAGCAACAUAGCUUAAAAUAAAACUUUAAAGUAGAUUCUUUUUCUUUUUUUUUUUGAGACAGAGUCUUGCUCUGUCACCAGGCUGGAGUGCAGUGGUGGGUUCUCGGCUCAGUGCAAUCUCCGCCUCCCAGGUUCAAGCAUUUCUCCUGCUUCAGCCUCCUAAGUAGCUGCGACUACAGGUGCAUGCCACCACACCUAACUAAUUUUUGUAUUUAUAGUAGAGACGGGGUUUCACCAUGUUGGCCAGGAUGGUCUCGAUCUCUUGACUUCGUGAUCUGCCCACCUCACCUCCCAAAAUGCUGGGAUUACAGACGUGAGCCACUGCGCCCGGCCAAGAGUAGAUUCUAAGUGUUCUCAUCACAAAUCAACGAUAAGCCUGUGAGAUAGCAGAAUUUUGAAAGUGAAAAUGCGGUGAAAGGCGGUGACUGGCCUGCCAGACCCCAUCAAACUGUACACAGUCUGCACGGGAAACUCCAAGAUCAACUUGAUUCACAUUCAGAGCAGUGAAAACAGCGCAGGACUGGUGACACCUGGUACCUCUGGAGUAAGUGGUAGGAGAGAUUUAUUUUCUGAAGACAGUAACCAGGAGGUUUCUGAACUAGAGAAGCCAGAGAGCAUGGAGAUCUGGAGGACGAUGUACUGAAAACGGAGGAAUUAAAAGACUAUAGAGUAGCUGACUGAAUAUUUGGGUUCCAGCCUUCUUCUCACACGUGGCUUCCAGAACACAGCAACCAGGUGCAUAUUCUUCAAGUAGGGGACUGAAGAGUCUUCUCUGGGCAACUGACCAACCCAAGAGGAGAAGCCUAAAGUAAGGGUUCCCUAGAAAACAGUCAAGUCAUGUCACUCCCAGUGCCAGGAAGAAAGCUAUGUGAACACAAAGGCAGAGAUCAGGGCAAUGCGUCUGCGAGUCAAGGACCAGCAAAGAUUGCCAGCGAGCUGGGAGAGGCGUGUAAGAGAGCCUCCCUCACAGCCCGCAGAAGGGACCAACCCUGCCUGCGGAACUGUGAGACACACAUUGCUCUUGUCUAAGCCACCCAGUCUCUGGUACUCUCUCUCUUUUUUUUAACUCAUCAUCAUCAUCAUAUUAUUAUUAUUAUUAUUAUCAUUAUUAUUUUGAGACGGAGUUUUGCUCUUGUUACCCAGGCUGGAGUGCAAUGGCGCGAUCUUGGCUCACCGCAACCUCCACCUCCUGGGUUCAACAAUUCUUCUGCCUCUUGAGCAACUGGGAUUACAGGCACGCACCACCAUGCCCAGCUAAUUUUUUGUAUUUUUAGUAGAGACGGGGUUUCACCAUGUUGACCAGGAUGGUCUUGAUCUCUUGACCUCGUGAUCCACCUGCCUCGGCCUCCCAAAGUGCUGGGAUUACAGGGUUGAGCCACCGCACCCGGCCUUAACUCAUCAUAUUAUUAUUUUUUUAACUUUUAUUUUAGGUUUGGGAAUACACAUGCAGUUGUGUUACAUAGGUAAACACCUGUAAUAGGGGUUUGUUGUAUAUAUUAUUUCAUCAGCCAGGUAUUAAGCCCAGUAUGCAAAAGUUAUCCUUUCUGCUCCUCUCCCUUCCUUCACCCUCCAUGCUCAAGUAGACCCCAGUGUCUUUGUUUCCUUCUUUGGUUUAUAAAUCCUUGUCAUUUAUCUCUUACUUAUAAAUAAGAGCAUGUAGUAUUUGGUUUUCUGUUCCUGCAUUAGUUUGCUAAGGAUAAUAGCCUCUAGCUUCAUCCAUGUUCCUGCAAAAGACAUGAUCUCAUUCUUUUUUAUGGCUGCAUAGUAUUCCGUGGUGUAUAUGUAUCAUGUUUUCUUUAUCCAGUUUUCACUGAUGGACAUUUAGAUUGAUUCCAUGCCUUUGCUAUUGUGAAUAGUGCUGCAAUGAACAUUCGUGUACACGCAUCGUUAUGGUAGAAUGAUAUAUAGUUCUCUGGGUACCUACCCAGAAGUAGGAUUGCUGGGUCAAAUGGUAGUUCUGUUUUUAGCUCUUUAAGGAAUCACCACACUGUUUUCCACAAUGGUUGAACUAAUUUACACUCCCACAAACAGUGUAUAAGCAUUCCCUUUUCUCCACAACCUUGCCAAUACCUAUUAUUUUUCGAUUUUUUUUUUGAGACGGAGUAGCCUGUUGCCCAGGCUAGAGUGCAGUGGUACAAUCUUGGCUCACUGCAACCUCCACCUCCUAGGUUCAAGAGAUUCUCCUACCCUAGCCUCCAAGUAUCUGGGACUACAGGCAUGCACCACCACACCCAGCUAAUUUUGUAUUUUUAGUAGAGAUGGGGUUUCCUCAUGUUGGCCAGGCUGGUCUUGAACUCCUGACCUCAGGUGAUCCACCUGCCUUGGCUUCCCAAAGUGUGGGAAUUACAGGCAUGAACCAUGGUGUCCAUCCUAUUUUUUGAUUUUUAGUAAUAGCCAUUCUGGCUGGUGUGAGGAGGUAUGUCACUGUGAUUUUGUCUUGCAUUUCUCUAAUGAUUAGUGAUAUUGAGCUUUUCUUUAUGUGCUUGUUGGCCACAUGUAUGUCUUGUAUUGAGACGUGUCUGAUCAUGUCCUUUGCCCACUUUUUAAUGGGGUUGUUUGUUUUCCUCUUGUAAAUUUUUUAAGUUCCUUAUAGAUGCUAGAUAUUAGAUCUUCAUGUGGCACCUUCUUACAUUAGGCCUAGCAAACAAAUACACAUGGUAUGUGGGAGCUCAUUUCCACGUGCUCCAUGAAGGAAAGACCUGUGUUUCUGAAUCUUCCUCUGAAGGAAGGAGGAAAGGAAAGCAGAAAAGAGGGAGGGAAGGAAGAAAAGGGGUGGGCCACAAUAUGCCUGCACCUGCCUUGACCCCAGCAGGACCUCAAAAUCUGCCUUUGAGCAAAAGGGCUUAUACUUCUGUACUUAAUCUUUAUAUCAUCAUCAGAUGUUUACGUAUAACAUUGAUAGUUGAAAUACAAACGUAUAUACAUACCAAAGAAAAGCAGAGAAGAAAAUUCUUCUUUUUUCUCCAGGUCUCCAGAUGAGAGACUAACUGCUUGGUAAUGUUGAGGUUAAAAAAAGAACGUGAAGUCAAUAAAGGAUGAAAAAUGUUG